UACGUAGGUGGCAAGCGUUGUCCGGGUUUACUGGGUGUAAAGGGCGUGUAGGCGGGAAAGCAAGUCAGAUGUGAAAUCCCAUUGCUUAACUGUGGAGCUGCAUCUGAAACUGUUUUUCUUGAGUAUCGGAGAGGAAAGUGGAAGUCCAAGUGUCGCGAUGAAAUAUGUAGAGGUUUGGAGGAAAACCAGUGGCGAAGGCGGCUUUCUCGACGAUAUCUGAAGCUGAGGCGCGAAAGCGUGGGGAGCAAAUAGG
This 253-nucleotide ribosomal RNA is filed under the name uncultured bacterium. RNAcentral describes it as "partial 16S ribosomal RNA". It matches the Rfam family "Bacterial small subunit ribosomal RNA", at positions 524 to 776 of the family's 1533-position model. The record is from RNAcentral.